GCGUCAUCAGUCUGAUAAACUUCCCUAUACAUAGAUCAAGAAGUGGGACUCCAAUUCCUACCAAAGACGGAAACCCAGGAACAGAACCAUAUAUUGUGGCACACAAUUUGAUCCUUGCUCAUGCAAAUGCUGUUGAUAUAUACAGGAAAAAAUAUCAGGUAAAUUUAUAUUUUGAGUUUUUGUAAUAGUUUAUUUACAUAGAUAUAUAGACACAUGAUUUGUAAGUGCAGGCAACUCAAGGAGGAAAAAUAGGAAUGACAAAUGUCGCAGCUUGGUAUGAGCCUUACAGUGACAAGAAAGAAAAUAUAGAAGCUUCUUCGAGGGCGCUCCAAUUUAUGUUGGGAUGGUAAGUAGGUGCAAUAGUUUACAGGCUUGAGUUUUUGGAUUAUACUAUCUAUACGUAAAAAUUGUGCAUAAAGGAUUACAUAAAAUGAUGUGAAGAGAAAAGAUUGGAUAAAAAAGUUGACUAUGUUUUAAAUUGACAAAUGAUAUAUUGACAUGUGGUAUUAUGUAAUCCAUUAUAUAAAAUUUGAUGUACAUGUAGUAAGGUCCUUAAUUUCUAUAUUUCGUCUACUAACUAAUUAACAGCAUAAAUACUAUUUUUUAUAUCCAAUGAUUAUAAGCUAAAACCACCCCCACAGAGCGAAAUAAUAUAAAUGAAAGAUUUAGAUCUAGUAUAGAAUCUCCAUAAAACAAAAUAUAUAUAUAUAUAAACUAUUGCCUAUCUAUUUUUUCUAAUAAUCCGUACACAAUAUAAACACAAUCACGGACCCUGAGGUCUACAGGUCUCAUAUCAAUUACCAUUAGGAUAAAACCACUGUGUCAAAAGAAUUUGACAUAAUUGGUAGAUUAUUGGACAAAAAAUUGACUGUGCUUUAAAUUGUUCAAUGAUAGAAUGUCACGUGAUAUCAUUUUAAACUUUACGUCAACCUUGAUGUUUAUAUAGCAUGAUUGUUACCAUCAAUUGUGCACCUGUCAGGAUCAAGAAGAAAGUGCUACAUUUUAUAAAGUUGCAAGGUUUUAAAUAUUCAUGGAAACUACUUUCUUUUAUGUUUGCAUCACAUGAUUCUCAACAAAAAUUAAUCAGGAUGUAUAACACAAGUCUCUCUCCUUUUUUCUUUUGUGUCCACUUGAUUGUUCAAUAUAUUUUGACAAUUUGUCAUUUUCGUGGAAGUCAUUUAUUUACUAGGCUUAAAUUAGUGUAAAAACAUGUUCUAUAUUUUUCAUUUUCAGGUUUGUAGAACCAAUGGUAACAGGUGAAUAUCCACCGGCCAUGAGAAAAAAUGUAAAAGAACGUCUUCCUACAUUUACAGAUGAUCAAGAGCUGCUCGUGAAAGGAUCAUAUGACUUUUUAGGCAUAAAUUAUUACACCGCUUAUUAUGUUAUUGAUUUUCCCAUUUCUGGACCACCAAGUUACGUGACAGAUCAGCAAGUUAAGUUUUCAAGUAAGUACACUUGUAAACGUUAUCAUUUUAUUGGACUCUUGUAUGACAAUACUCACCCUUUCAAUCUUUUAUAGCUGAUCGCGAUGGGAUGCCAAUUGGUCCAAAGGUAUGCCUUUAACUGAGACAAAUUUGACAGAAAGUAAUUAAGACUAUUGCAACAGAUUAUGCAGGAAAAUAUACUUAUUGGACUCAAAACAACUUCAAAAAUUUAUUGCAAUCCAUUAUUCUGUCCGAAUUAAUCCAUACAUUAAUACAUUAAAGUACUUAACAUGAUUUAAUUAAUUUAUAAUAUUUAUAUAAUAUAAGAACAUCAAAUGACAAUCAUCUUUUCUGCUAGGGCGGUUCUGAUUGGUUGUACAUUGUUCCAUGGGGAAUUUUCAAUCUCAUGAGUUAUGCAAAGGAAACAUAUCACGAUCCUAUCAUUUACAUUACAGAGAAUGGUAAAUAAUAAUGUUAUUCUUAACUUAUCUAUUUAUGUAGUUAGAAAUAUUUUAUUGUCAAAUAUGUCAACAUUGUGAUUUAUUGGAAACAAUAUCCCCUAUAAUUAUGUAUAGGAGUGGAUGAGAAGAACAAUAAAGGCAAAAAUGUUGCAAGUUGUCUUUCUGAUGAAAUAAGGAUUAAAUAUCACAACGACCAUCUUUGGAACCUUAAAUUGGCAAUGGUGCAGUAAGUCAUCGUUAAUUUUAAUUGCAUGCCAGUCAUUAUAUUAAUUCAACUCUAGACAAAUUGUAAAUUAUGAAAUUAAUUGGCAAAUUUCCUUUCCUUUUCAGAAAAAAUGUGCGUGUGAAGGGCUACUACGCAUGGUCAUUAUUUGACAAUUUCGAAUGGUGUGAGGGAUACACAGUUAGAUUUGGCAUUUUCCUUGUAGACUUUGAGAAUGGCCGUUUGACAAGAUUCCCAAAAAACUCAGCUCUAUGGUGGAUGCAAUUCCUUGACAAGAAACAAGCUCAAGAAACAGAAGGACGUCAAGGCUCUGUGAAAAGGCUAAGAAUAGCAGCUAAUUAAGUGUAAAAUUGCUGCUAAAUCCUUUUCUUCUGCAAUGUUAUGUCAAAUAAGGCAUGGAUGUCAUGUUGUUUGGUUUGUUUCCUAAUUUUCUUGUGUGGGCUGUUGUGAAAGCCAUGUUUCAACUUCUUUAAUUUGGCUUUUAUAUCUUGCUUUGAUGAAGAUGAAACAUUCUAUGUCAAAAUAGAAUGUUUUUGUUUAAGAUGUUAAAAUAAUUCCAGGGUGUUGAGUUGUGUGCCUAUAAAGUAUUGCUGUAACGGAUUGAUAUUUUGUGUAUCAUUUAAAUAAAUAUUUGGUUUUUCAUAUAUUUCGUUUAUAAAAGGAAUUCAAGGAAUAAGUGAAACGAAGGCCCUUGGACUUUUGAUACCAUAUGGAGCCAUCGUCGAGUAUAGUAUUGGUGCGAAGGAGUCUCAAGCGUAUAGGGGUCGCCACUCCCCGUCUCGAUUUAUUGCAUGGUAUUUUCAAUUUAACAAGCAUUUUCAGACAAUAUUAGUCGUACACUUUCUUGGUGAAGCUCAAUGAGACACACCUAAUUAAAUCCGCAACAUGUUAAUGAAGCUGUAAAGAGAAUAGAGCAUAGACGUACCUGAAGGGCGGUUGUGUCAUCGUCCUGAUUGACCAGUGUCAGCAGACCUGUAAGGCAAGACCAGAGCAUAAUGAAAAGGACCAUACAUCAUACAUGGCGCCAUUUCGCGUGUCAAAUAUAAUAUUUGAAACUGAAAAAUCAUGUAAUAAAAUGACGUUUUAAGGAUUCACACUAGGAAAUAUUCAAUCAAGCAUACAUGAAAGAGAUGCAUCUAAUUGUCAAAUAUGCAUCUUGGAAUAUCUUUCACCAAAAAAUUAAUUCUCUCUUCUUUUAUCCUUUUUUGAGAACUGGUCAAAUUCAAUUGAUAUACCAUUCGUUAGGUCCUUCCAUGGUUUUACCGAGAGCUCCAGACACUCCAGGUUUCACUUCUCUGUAACACUGUAUUCAAGAAGAAUAAUCACAAAAGAAUUCUAAUAUACAGGAAGUACAUCUUCUGUUAAAAAUAAAUAAACAGGUUCGAGACUUAGACUAUGCACUGGAAAGAUUGUACAUAACCUCCUAAGACACUUAUUAUAAGUAGCAUCAUUAAAUAGCAGUAGAAAGGGAAAUUUUAUUUUGGACUUUUUAUUCUCAAGAUAGUGUAGAUUCGUGCUUAAUAGUACAAGUUCAAUGUUCUUGAAGCUUAUUUUGAUUCACAAGUAUAAAAUUAACUAGCUAUGUAUAUCAGCAGUGGCACUGCUCAGGCGACAUUAAAAAGUGUUGGGGAUUGAACCAUUAACACAACCAAAGCAGCAAAAUACAAUAUCACAAUCCCCUAUUAUGCAGAAUCAAAAUGGCAGUAAAAUAACACCGGCUCCAACUCACACACACUGACAGAAAUGUAAAGAUAAGAACACCAAUAUUUGUUCACUAGGGAAACCGUUCAACGUGAAGGAAAAACCCCGGGACCCAGUCCAGUAAAAGCCAUCCACUAUCAAAAUAAUGAGAUACACAAUUAACCCUCUCCAGAACACAAUCUAGAGGCUACCAAUACAUCAAGAACACAUAUAUAUUCUUGGAUAUCAACAACAACAUCAUACUAAAAUAGAUAUACACACAAUAAGGAGAAAAUCUCACUAAACUAGUGUGUAGAGCCCAGAGAAAUGGAGAAGAAUAUGGACGAUUAGCUCCUGUCAAAAUGUAGCUAUCUUUGCCAAGAAUAACAUACUGAAAUUUCAGCUUAAUCAAACCAUGGAUGAAUCUCGAUCUUUGGCAAGAAGAAACUGACAUAGCGUAGUCUCUCUCUCUCUCUCUCGUUCGGUCUCUGUUUCAGAAGAAAAUGAAGCUGCCUAUUUUGGAAAGUCAGCUGCCCAUUUUUCUCCCUCAAUUGUAUCUAUAUUUGCCUUUGUUAUUGGACCAUUAAAUGGGUUUAAUUGGUUUGGGCUUUAGUGGGCUACUAAAUGGGUAGAUCCCUAAAGUGGAGGGAAAACCCAACAAAUCCCCCCCUCCCGACUAUAUGAGGGACUCCACAAGCUCGCUUUCGUUCUAAAUAUUUGUAGUUUCUCCAUAGGCAAUGGCUUUGUCAUCAUAUCUGAACCAUUCUCAUCAGUAUGGAUUUUCCCAAGCUAUAACUUCUUCAUCUCCAGUGCAUCUCGAAUCCAAUGAUACCUCACUUCAAUGUGUUUGGAUCUUAGGUGGAAAGUUGGAUUCUUACUAAGAUGGAUUGCACUCUGACUAUCACAAUAGAGAAUAUACUUUUCUUGCUCUAGGCCCAGUUCUUGUAAGAACUUCUUCAUCCAUAGCAACUUCUUGCUAGCUUUAGUGAUGGCUAUGUACUCAGCCUCUAUGGUAGAUAGUGCAACACAUUUCUGUAGUCUAGAUUGCCAUGAAACUACUUCCCCUGAGAAGGUGAUCAAAUACCUAAAAGUGGACUUUCUAGAGUCUACAUCACCAGCCAUAUCUGCAUCUAUGAACCAAACAAGCUCGGGUUUGUUGGUGCCAAAAGAUAAACAUAUCUUAGAUCUCCCUCUGAGACACCUGAGAAUCCAUUUCACUACUGCCCAGUGUUCUUUUCCAGGAUUAGAAAGAAAUCUACUGACAACUCUAACAGAAUGAGCAAUGCCUGGCCUUGUGCAUACCAUAGCAUACAUCAAGCUACCCACAGCUGAUGCAUAAUGCACAUUCUUCAUUUCUUCAUUUUCAUUCUCGCUUGAAGGACUUUGUUUUGACCUCAAUUUCAAAUGACUUAGCUAACUGGUGUUGCCUUGUCCACAUUGAACCGGUGUAAUACCUUUUCGAUAUAACUUUCCUGUAAUAACCAUAAUCUCCCAUUCUUCUUGUCACGAGAGAUUUUCAUACCGAGGAUUUGAUUUGCAGGUCCCAAGUCCUUCAUCUCAAAGGACUUGCUCAUCUCAUUUUUCAACUUCUUAAUUUUAUCAGUGUCACGGCUAACAAUCAACAUGUCGUCCACAUAUAGCAAGAGAAUAAUAAAUUCCCCAUCAGAGAAUUUCUUUAUAAACACAUAGUGAUCAGAAGUUUUUCUAGUGUACCCAUGCUCAACCAUGAAGAAAUCAAAUUUCUUGUACCAUUGUCUCGGUGCUUGUUUGAGACUAUACAAGCUUUUCUUCAACCGACAUACAAGAUUUUUUUUUUUACCUUUAGCUGUAAAUCCUUCUGGCUGCUCCAUGUAUAUUUCCUCUUCAAGGUCACCAUGGAAGGAAAGCGGCCUUCACAUCAAGUAAUUCAAUCUCCAGAUUCAUACUAGCUGCCAAUCCUAACACAACUUGGAUUGAAGAAUUUUAACCACAGGUGAGAAGAUUUCUUCAAAAUCAAUACCUUUCUUCUGACCAAACCCCUUCACAACCAACCUUGCCUUGUACCUUGGCUGCAAGCUAUGUGGUCCAACUUUUAGUCUAAGCACCCAUUUUGUUCUUCAGUGCUCUCUUGCCCUUAGGCAACUCUACUAGAUCAUAGGUGAUGUUCUUAUGCAAAGAUUUCAUCUCUUCUCAUAGCUUUUAACCACUGAUUUUUCUGAUCAUGUAGCAGAAUCUCCUGAUAACUUUCUGGUUCUCCCCCAUCAGAAAGUAACACACAUUCAUUACUAGAAUAUUUUCUGGAAGGCUGGCACUCUCUAGUAGAUCUUUUUUACCCUUCUUCAGCUGAUGCAUCGAGAGGAACAUUCUCUUGAUUUUGAUCUGUUCCUGCAUUACCCUUUGUCGAGGCUUCAUCAUGUCUGUCUCCUAUAGUGUCAUUUUCUUCUUGCACAUUUUCUCUAUGAUCAUUAUGUACCACAGGAUCUAGUAGUGGUACAUGUGGAACUGAAUUGAUUUGUUCUUCAUUGACUGUAUUUGGCUUCUUAGUCCUGUCCAAAUCUUCAAUGGUUUCAUUCUCAAAGAACACAACAUCUCUACUCCUGAUAAUCUUUUUGUUCACAGGAUCCCACAAUCUGUACCCAAAUUCUUCAUGUGCAUAACUCAAGAAGAUACACUGUUUUGCUUUGCUAUCUAGUUUGGACCUUUCAUUUUUAGGAAUAUGAACAGAUACCCGACAGCCAAAAACUCUUAAGUGAUCAAGAGAUAAAUCUUUCUCUGUCCAAAAGUUCUGUGGAACAUCGCCAUUCAAAGGAACUGAUGGAGAAAGAUUAAUCAAGUCAACUGCCGUCCUCAUUGCUUCAGCCCAUAAGUGCUUAGGUAAUUUUGCAUGAGAGAGCAUACAUCUGAUCUUCUCAUUAAUGGUCAUGUUCAUUCUUUCUGCCACCCCAUUUUGUUGUGGGGUCUUUGGAACAAUUUUCUCAAACUUGAUGCCAUGUCUCCUGCAGUACUCUUCAAAUGGCCCUCUGCAUUCACCACCAUUAUUUGCUCUGACACAUUUUAACUGUCUUCCAGUUUCUCUUUCAACUUUCAAAUGAAAGUCUUUAAAUACUUCCAACACCUGAUCUUUAGACUUCAAAGAAUAUACAAACACUUUUCUAGAGUGAUCAUCAAUAAAUGUAACAUAAUACAAUGCACCACCUAGAGAUUUACUUUGCAUCAUGCAAAUAUCGGUAUGAACUAAAUCAAGAAUAUGAGUCUUUCUAGAUGCAGGAAAUCUAUGAAAUACAACUCUAGUUUGCUUACCAACUAAGCAAUGAGUACAAGGGAUAAGUGAUGUACCUUUCACGUUAUGUAAAAGCUUCUUUCUGGACAUAAUUUGAAGUCCCUUUUCACUCAUGUGGCCAAGCCGCUUAUGCAUAGCUCAGUAGAGGCUUCAUUUUCAGCAAUAUUCAUAUUUCCAUAAAUUAGUUUUGUUUCUGUUUUGUAGAGAUCAUUAGUCUUUUUCCCUCUGGCUAAAACAAGAGAACCCUUUGUAAGUUUCCAAGAACCAUCUCCAAGGUGAUUAUGAUAGCUUUCUUCAUCAAGCUUUCCAACAGAAAUCAAGUUGCAGCGCAUAUCAGGAACAUGUUUGACAACCUUGAUAAAUAACUUGCUACCAAUGCUAGUUUCCAAUUGAACAUCCCCCAUACCAACAAUUCUUGCUUUAGCUUCAUUUCCCAUCCUGAUCCAACCAAAAUCACCACUGGUAUAGGAUGAAAAGAAAUCCCUAUGUGGAGUAAUAUGAACAGAAGCUCCUGUAUCGACUAUCCACGUAGAAUCCUGGCAUGAAAGGCUAGCAAAUGCUUCAUCACAAGCAACAAAUACCUCUGCAUCAAAUGCAACUGCUGUGAUCUCCUUUUGUUCUUUCCGUUCUUCACCUUUCAAUUUAAACUGUUCUCUUUUCCAUUUCUUGCACUCCUUUUUAAGAUGCCCUAGAUUGCCACAAUAAUAACAUUUUAUCCCUUUUCUUAACUUUGAUUUUCUUCUAGACUUGUCACGACUGUCAUCACCAUAAGAUUUUUUUACUUUGGUUUCUCCCCCUUCUUUCUGUAAAAAGUGCUUCAGAGUUAGAAGAAGCACCCUGCUCCUUUCUUCUGGCUUCUUCAUUAAACAUACUGUCUUUCACCAUGUUGACAGUGAUCACACCAUUUGGAGUUGAAUUGCUCAGAGAGACAACUAAAGUUUCCCAACUAUCUGGUAAUGAACUCAACAGAAGUAAAGCCUACACCUCACCAUCUAGUGUAAGCUUCAUGGUAGUUAACUCAUUCAACAACUCUUGAAAGCUACCGAAGUGCUCUGUAACACUAUUACCAUCCCUGUACUUUAAAUUUACGAGCCUUCUGAUCACAAAGGCCUUGUUCUGUGUGGUCUUUCUUUCAUAAAGACUUUCUAAUUUCUACUAAAGACUAUAUGCAUCUACUUCUUUGGCUAUAUGAUAGAAAACACUCUGAUCAACCCACUGCCUAAUUUGUCCAACAGCCUUUCUAUUCAAUUUCUUCCAAUCCUCAUCAGUUUUAGAAUCAGGUUGCUUUCUAUUCAAUUCAAUGGGAUCGAACAAAUCUUUGCAAUACAAAAUAUCCUCCAUCCUAGUCUUCCAAAUAGAAUAAUUGGAAGAUGUGAGUUUAACCAUGCCACUAGCCGAAUCCUCCAUUUUAAUUCUCACAAUAAUCACAGAGACUCAACCUCACUCUGAUACCACUUUGUUAGGGAUUGAACCAAUAACACAACCAAAGCAGCGGAAUCCAAUAUCACAAUCCCCUAUUAUGCAGAAUCAAAAUGGCAGUAAAAUAACACCAGCUCCAACUCACACACACUGGCAGAAAUGUAAAGAUAAGAACACCAAUAUUUGUUCACUAGGGAAACCGUUCAACGUGAAGGAAAAACCCCGGGGACCUAGUUUAGUAAAAGCCAUCCACUAUCAAAAUAAUGGGAUACACACCCUCUCCAUAACACAAUCUAGAGGCUACAAAUACAUCAAGAACACAUAUAUUCUUGGAUAUCAACAACAACAUUAUACUAAAAUAGAUACACACACAUAAUAAGGAGAAAAUCUUACUAAACUAGUGUAUAGAGCCCAGAGAAAUGGAGAAGAAUUUGGACGAUUAGCUACGAUGAAAAUGUAGCUAUCUUUGUCAAGAAUAACAAACUGAAAUUUCAGCUUAAUCAGACCAUGGAUGAAUCUCGAUCUUUGGCAAGAAGAAACUAAAAUAGCAUAGUCUCUCUCUCUCUCUCUCGUUUGGUCUUUGUUUCAGAAGAAAAUGAAGCUGCCUAUUUUGGAAAGUCUGCUGCCCGUUUUCUCCCUCAAUUGUAUCUAUAUUUGCCUUUGUUAUUGGACCAUUAAAUGGGUUUAACUGGUUUGGACUUUAGUGGGCUACUAAAUAGGUAAGUCCCUAAAGUGGAGGGAAAACCCAACAAAAGGAAGAAAAUGAACUGCAUUAUUUUCUCCUUAUGUCAGCAGUUGAACUAACAGCAAAUUCUGUUAGUGAAUUCAUGACUAUUAACAUUCCAGCACAAAGCUCUCUUCUGGCUACUUCAGCCACUUUCUCUGCACUCAGUACUUCAUCUUCAAGUUGGCAACUUCCAUGUCUCCUUGAGGUUCUCAUUUCCCUCCAUAGAUCUUUGAAGCACUUAGUUUCUUGGAAGAUUUCUUAGAAGAAUCUUUCUCAAGUUGUUGUGCAUACAAGUAACCAACACCUGCUGCUGCAAGAUCGAGUCCAUCAAGUCCCGGAGCUUCCUGGAUUGCAUCAAGGAGCCUGGACCAUUGGACGCAAAUGUUAAACAUUGACAUCCCCCAAAAAUAUAUCUUGAAUGGUCAUCUGUGAAUGAGAUAAAAUACUUCUAACCAUUUAGACAAGGAGUAGAAAAAGGUCCACAAAUAUCCAUGUGAAUAAUCUCAAGAAUGUCCGACCUCUUGGCACCUUUAGUAGUCUAGUUUGUCUGCUUCCUUUUAUGCAGUCAAUAAGUCCUAAAAUCAGUAAAGUCUAAGAGUUAGUAAAAGUAAAACUCCAUCAUUCAUUAAUCUUUUAAGUCUUUCUAUGGAUAUAUGUCACAAUCUCCUGUGCCACAACUUAUAGGAGUUCUCUUUAACAAUACAAUGCUUAUUGUUAAGACCAUCACCAUGCAGUUUGGAUAAGUUACACUAAUAAGUGGGAUCCAAAAUAAAUUUAUAUAAAUUAUCGAUCAAAACAUCAUAUCCAACAAUAACUGAAUUGUGAAAUAAGCUAAAACUUCUGUUUUCAAAUACAAACUUGAAAUUCAAAGGUGUUAAUCUUAAAAUAGAAACUAAAUUACAUGAAAAGCUUGAAACAUAAAAAGUGUUUUUAAGAUCCAAAUGAAAACUAGAAUUUUAAACUAAUCGAAAGGUUCCCACGCCUUCAAUUGUUGAACUCAACUGGUUUCCAAAAUAGACUCUUUGUUCAUUUGGUUGCGAUUUCCUUAGGUUCAAAAAGCCGUGCAUAAUAUUGGCAGUGUGAAUUAUAGUACCUAAAUCAAUCUACCAUGUAUUGUUUGAAAAAUUAACCAAAAGAGAAUCAUGACACACUAAAGAGAUAACGGUAUCUUUCUUUUCAAGCCAUUUCUUAUACUUGAAACAGUCCUUCUUCAUAUGCCUUUUCUUCUUGCAAAAAAAUAAAAAUAAAAAUAAAAAUAAAUAAAUAAAUAAAUAAUAAGAAUAAUAAUAAUAAUAAUAAUAAUAAUAAUAAUAAUAAAAAAUUAAAAAAAAAACAGAUAUCCUUAUUACCCUUUUACUUCAUUGGCAUCUUGUUCUUUUUUUUUUUUUUUUAAAAACCAUAUUUACCCUUGUUUUCAUUUCCUUUAUCAUGAGUUGUCAGAUGAGUAGUUUCCUACCUUUCAUGCUUUAACCUCUCUUCCUCUUGAACACACAUUGUUAGGAGUUCAUUCACAAUCCAUUUUUCCUUAUGUGUGUUAUAUUAUACAAUAUUUUAAUUGACCACACUCCGUAGGAAGAGAGUUCAAAAUGAGAUGAACAAGGAAUGAAUCGGAAAUCUCUAUCUCCACGGAUUUCAGAUGAGCGGCAAUGUCUCUCAUAUCCAUUAUAUGCUCAUGCUCACCUUUAGAAUUGUCAAACUUUAUGCCUGAAAGCCUUUUCAUUAAGGUGUUGGCCAACAUUUUUUCAGAACUUCCAAAUUGCUCUUCAUCGACCUUUAUGAAGUCCUUGGCCUUAUCAAAUUGAGGGGUUGAUCUCCUGAAGCUUUUGCUGACAUGAGUCUUCAUGAGAUUCACGCUCAAAUGAUUAGAUCUUUCCCACGAUUCAUGUAGUCACCUCUCUUCUAGCGUACUUGAUUCUGUAUGAACAAGUGGUUCAUCUGCACGGAGCAUCAAGUCGAGAUCCACACAUCCCAAAAUAAAGAGAAUUUUCUCCUUAAAGGCGGAAAAGUUAUCACCAUAUAGAAUUGGAAUUCGAAUAGAGUUAUUGAAAAAACUAUGAACCGUUGCAUAAGAUAAACACAUACAUUAAUGCUAUGAAAACUAUUUUUAUAUCUAAUUAACCAAUGUCAAUUCAAUUAUAUAAAUUCAAACCUUGCUAUAGGUAAAGGUAGUUAUCACACAUUGAAUUUACAAAGACUUUAGUAAUAUCAAAUACAAUUUUUUUUUUUUUAAUGUAAUUGUGGGCCUAGGAAAUUUCUUGUUUCAACAUUUAAUGAUUACUUCAUUGCAAUUAAAUCUUUUUAAGAUAACCAUUUUCCCAUGGGGCCAAAUAAUCAUCCCAUGAAUUAACUGCACUUUAUGAGAUGUCCUAUGUAUCAUCAAAUAAUUCAUGAUAGGAUUUUAUGUUCCAUGACACAAAAUUAUAACUAAAGGUGCUUUGGCUAUUUUUAAGUUAUAAUAACAUGUCGAAAUCCAAAAAUGAUGUCUCCAAACUAAGAAUCUUUAAGGAGGUUGAUGAAAGUGUACUAAAUCCUCCAACAAAAUAUUUAACAUAUUUCUCAAAUUUUAGAUGUUGAGGGGUUUUUUUUUUUUUUUUUUUUUUUUUUUUUUUUUAAAGACAAAUAAGCUGCUAGCUAACAAUUCUACUAUAACAGUAUUUAAAUAACUUAAAGCAAUAGCAAAUAGAGAAAAUUAUAAUUACAGCAGAUACCUUAAUGUCUAUUUUAAUCCAAAAUCAGUUACGCUUCCAAUAUUUACAGUGAAAGAUAGCUGUCAUGGUGAAUGUUUAUGAAAUGGUUUUAGUAAUUUUCAAAAGUUGGACACUUAAAAAUAAUAAUUGAAGUUUUAAAUGAUGGUUACAUAAACUACUUUACACGAUCCACUUCUAUAUACAGCAUUUCUAAUCUGUAUAAUUACAUGCGAAUUUUUUUAAUAAAUGACGCGUAAAUAUUGCACAUUAAUUCCCAUGCAUUUGAAAAAUAAAACCCAUUUAUCAAAUUAACCAUUAACUCAAAACGACUAGCCUCAAGAAAUCAUUUAAUAUGAAAAAUUAGACCCUUAUCAUCAUAUGCAUGGAAUGGUUAGUAUUUGCAGCAACCAGAUCCACUACAAAUUAGACUAUUAAAAUAUAAUUGAGUCACUUAUAAACAUAAAAUAUGCCACAAUUUUAGAUCUGAAUAACAAGCAUGAAAGAUGGCUCUAAUACCAUAUGUAAGAAAUUUACAAUAUACUUCCAGUCAUAUUAUUUAAGAUAAGAAUAAAAUUCACUAUAGGACUUCAAACACCAAUGAAUCUUCAAACCAAAAUCCACUUGAUAAUUCCUUUUAACUUGAUGUAAUAAUACACAGGACUUCCUUUAGAGAGAGAGAGAGAGAGAGAAUAAUACAGAAAAUUUGUAUAAGUUUGGCUUGGGACUCUCUGGCAUCCAUAUAUAGACACCACUAAAGAGAUCGACACUUUAUAAAAAAAUGGUAUUUGAAUGUAAUCCGAUACAUAUUUCUUUACAGAGAUGCUACUAUUUAUAUACAGUAUAGGAACACAUACGAUUGUAGGCUAAGAAGAAGAGAUAAUUGAAAAAUAGAGCCUGACUAAUCUAAUACACUGAUAAGGUUAUCAGGUAAUUGGAGCAAUCUGAUGAAGUGAUAACGUUAUCAGAUGUUUGGAGCCUUAUCUACAGAAAUAUUCGAAAUUUGAUUUGGAGAAUCUCUAACAUGCCCCCACAAGAUGGUACUCCCAUCGGAGACACCAAUCUUGGAUCGAAGAGUAAGAUGCCACUGCUUAGGCAAUGGUUUUGUUAAAAGAUCAGCAAGUUGAUCAUGAGUGGAGACAUGAGAAACCCUUAGUUGACCUACAGCAACUUUGUCACGAACAAAAUGGAAAUCAAUUGCUAUGUGUUUCACGUGAGAGUAAAAAACUGGGUUGGCACAGAGGUAUGUAGCCCCAACAUUGUCACAAUAGAUAGUGGGAGGAACAAUGGUAAUGUGUAGCUCCUGAAGAAGGGAGCCAAUCCAACAAAGUUCAGCAGCGGUUGAAGCGACAGCUCUAUACUCAAAUUCAGUGGAAGAGCGGGCAAUAGAUUUCUAUUUUUUCAGGUAACGAAAAAUACAUUUGAUGGCUGUCCAAUGAGUUUGUGUUGGGCAGUGCAUAAGCUGAGCAAGUUGUUCACAGCAAAGGAGAUAACCGGGCGAGUAAGAGACAAGUACAGAAGUGAGCUAACAAUUUGCCGAUGGUCCAUUGUUCGUCAAAUUCCCAUAAGUGUACGAUUUCGUUGUACAAGUAAUAAUCGUGAUGAGAGAGUUAUCGUCCAGCAGGGAAUAAUGAUUAAUUCUAGUAUAUUUGAUAUAUUUAAAUUCGUGUUUAUAACCAAAAGACGAUUGAUGAAUAACUAACUAAUUUUUUUUAUAACUAAAACUUAUGAAAUCAAUGAAAAUUUGUUUUUAAAAACAAUCAAGUGUGUGAACGUAUUGGAUUUCUAAUGCCAUCGAUCAAUUCUUAGUUCUAAUUCUCAACCAGUAAUAAUUAUCUUAAUUCAUGCAAUUGCGACGAUCGAUAAUUUCACUUUUAUUUAUUAUUCUUUCCCAAGAUAUAAUAAACUUAUGUUUAUCACGAGACGAUCAUAUUCCUAGUCCGAAUUCAUAUGGCAAACAUGCAUUGACAUUUAGGAUUAUCACAUAAGAUCGCAUACGCCACAAUUAUUAUUCCUAACAAUUAUUGUCCGUAUAUUCCAUCAACAGUGUUCUACAUACCGUGAGUUUUUCAACAUUACGAAUAAGCAACUUAUUGUCCUAAUGGUGCGCAAACAUUAAAAUAAUCUAAUUAUGCAUAUUAAUGAAAUCACAAUGCAAAAAUUAACAUAAAAACAUAGGUCUCGAAUUAAAACUAAUAAUUAAACAAUUUUGUCUUUCAUCCAAUACAUGAGAAAAAUUAGCCUAGCAUACUAUUGGAAUUAAACACAUAAAAGUGAAAGGAAAUCACCGAAAAUCGACGGGACAUGAUUAAUCUUCAAGCUCCUUGCAGAAUUAUUGAAGAAAGUUGCACAAAGAAAACUCAGCCAACAACCUUUCUAGGAAUCCAAUAUUAAAUCUCUUAUUUCCGACCAGCUUCUCUAUAGGUUUUCUUCCUCUCGGUUCCAUGUGUAUCAAUGUAUAUUACUCCCCCAAUUGGCUGCCUUUUUGUCUAUAGAUUAAUCUCCAAUUCCUUUCAAUUUUCCGCCGAAAUUGCUAUAUAUAUAAACCAGCCAAAGCAGCCCUUUUUCUUUGCCUUUUUUCCCAGCAGCUCUGCCUUUUUUUACUGCCCAAAUUCAGCAGUAUGUAUAAUAUGUUGACCCCCAACCGCUGUUUCUUCUUGCCAUAAUAUCUCUCAAUUCAGGCCCUUUAUUCGACCGGCAGCCGUCCCUUUUUUUCCAAUUAAUCCCCCCAGUUGGCGUCUCUUUUUGUAUGUGGAAGAAAAGAAACUCCUUCAGCUCCUCCAAAGUGCUGCCCAAUUGUUUUUCCCUAUGUUUCCUCAAGCCGCCCUUUUUUGUUGACUCACAAAAGAAGACAAUUUUUUUUUCUAGGUUAAUCUCCAACUCUCCUUCCCCAGCAGCUUGGCAGCCAUCCCCCUUUCUAUAUAUUUCCCAUAUGUAUUCUCUAUCAUUGAAAUCAGCCCAAGAGGUCCACUUAUACCACAAUUUUCUCUAAGUCCUCAAUUGUUUUAAAAUCAUACAAUUUAAUCCUUGAACCCAAUUAAUUAUGCAACCAAUGCUUUUCUUUAGUUCAAGUCAAGUCCUUGAAUUUUCAAAGUGUUGAAUUUGAUUCCCAAACUUUCCUUCCAAUGGCCAAUUUUUUUAUCCGAAUGAGUCCAUCA
Molecule: long non-coding RNA, 15035 nt
Filed under: Olea europaea (common olive)
Lineage: Eukaryota; Viridiplantae; Streptophyta; Magnoliopsida; Lamiales; Oleaceae
Description: long non-coding RNA (OEUR_LNC003299)
Source: RNAcentral